RNAcentral lists this ribosomal RNA (2157 nucleotides) under Triticum aestivum (bread wheat). Its description in RNAcentral is "partial small subunit ribosomal RNA". Lineage: Eukaryota; Viridiplantae; Streptophyta; Magnoliopsida; Poales; Poaceae. The record is from RNAcentral.
AUGGCGGAGGGUGUUGUUGGGCUGGUGGUGGCGACGCUCGGCGCGGCGCUGGCAACAGAGGCGGCGACCUUCGGCUGGUCGCUGCUACGCAAGGAAGCCGCCGCCAUCAGGGACGUCUUUGGCAAGAUCCGCCAGUCCAAGGCGGAGCUGGAGAGCAUGCAGGCCUACCUGCACAAGGCGGAGCGGUUCAAGGACACCGACAGGACCACCGACAUCUUUGUUGGCGAGAUCAGGGGCCUCGCCUUCCAGAUCGAGGACGUCGUCGACGAGUUCACCUACAAGCUGGAGGACUGCAAGCAUGGAGGGUUCACCGGCAAGAUCAGAAGUAAAGUUACCACAGUAUGGGGAAUGCCUGGUGUUGGUAAAACCACUCUGGUUGCUCAUGUGUACAACAUGUUGAAAUUGGAUUUUGAUGCCGCAGCGUGGGUAACCAUGUUGAAGAGUUACUGCCUCAAAGAACGGCUGAAGAAGAUAGCCGCCGAGUUCGGCAUCGCAGUUGAUGUGGCCACCAGUGAGAUGAGAGGCCUAGCAGAGUCCAUCCAUAACUACCUUCAAGGUGAAAAUUUCAUCGUGGUCCUGGAUGAUGUUUGGACUCCGCUUGUGUGGUCAGAGAUAAGGAAUGUCUUUCCAACAUCUAAUUGUACCGGCCGAUUUGUUAUCACAUCAAGAAAGCAUGAAGUGUCACUGUUAGCAACUAGGGAGUCUGCAAUUCACUUGGAACCGCUACAAGCAUAUCAGUCCUGGCUGUUGUUCUGCAAAGAGGCCUUUUGGAAUAAUGAUGACAAAGAGUGCCCAUUGGAGUUGCAAGAAUUGGCCCGGAAGUUAGUAGCAAAGUGUCAAGGCUUGCCUAUUGCAAUUGCAUGCAUUGGCCGCCUACUCUCCUGGAAACAACCAACUUUUGCUGAAUGGGAGGAUGUGUAUAGGGGUUUGGAUUCGCAGUUCAUGAAAGAUGUGAUCCCUGAUGCUCAUAUGAUCCUAAAGGUCAGCUUGGAGGACCUUUUGUAUGAUAAGAAGAAUUGUUUCUUACAUUGUGCAUUAUGCCCAGAAGAUCAUGUAUUAAAGAGGAGGAAGGUAAUGAGGCAGUGGAUUACGGCGGGGUUUAUCAGGGAAAAGGAAGAGAACAAAACAUUGGAGGAAGUGGCAGAGGGCUACUUAGCCGAGCUUGUGAAUCGAAGUCUACUGCAGGUAGUGAAGAGGAAUCAUGACGGGCGACUGAAACACUGCCGGAUGCAUGAUGUCAUACGCCUACUUGCCCUCAACAAAGCCAAGGAAGAAUGCUUUGGAAAAUUUUAUAAUAGCUCUGCUUCUGGGGCACUCUCUGUAGAGGGUGCACGUCGCAUAUCUGUUCAGGGUGAAAACAUUGAACAACUGAGCCGUUCUGGUGCAACACAUCUCUGUGUGCUCCAUGUGUUAGGGAGGUGUAUCAAUGUUGAUUUUCUGAAGCCUAUUCUAACAUCUUCGAAAUUUUUGUCGACCCUUGAUCUGGAAGGUACUCAUAUCAAAAUGCUGCCCAAUGAAGUAUUCGACUUGUUUAACCUGCGUUAUUUGGGUCUUAGAGAUACCAAGAUUGAAAGCCUGCCUGAAGCAGUUGGGAGGUUACAAAACUUGGAAGUCUUGGAUGCUUGUGAAUCUAAGCUGGCGUAUUUGCCAAACAAUGUUGUUAAACUACAAAAGUUGAGAUACCUGUAUGCGUUUACUCCUGGUUCACCAGUAAAUGAAACUGGAGAUGGAGUCAAGGUGCCUAUUGGCAUACAGCACAUGACAGCACUGCACUCUCUCCAGUGCAUCAAAGCCACUCCAGAGUUUCUGUGUGAAGUUGGAUCUUUGAUAGAGCUAAGAACACUCAGUGUCUGCAACAUUAGAAGCGAACACUCUGCUGGCUUGAGCAACGCUAUUACCAAAAUGAGCCAUCUUGUUCAUCUUGAAAUUAUCGCUGCAGCUGAGAGUGACGUGCUGCAGCUGGAUGGGCUACGUUUACCUCCAACCCUUUCUUGGCUUUGUUUAGGAGGGCGGCUAGAGAAAAUAUCGAUGCCUCAGCUUUUCUCUUCCUGGUCACACCUUAAUGGCCUGACUCGGUUGCAGCUGGGAUUCUCUAAUAUUGAUGAGCAGACCUUUUCCUGUCUCUUCGUUUACAUGGUCUACGCUCUCUUGGGCUAA